RNAcentral lists this ribosomal RNA (100 nucleotides) under Salvator merianae (Argentine black and white tegu). Lineage: Eukaryota; Metazoa; Chordata; Lepidosauria; Squamata; Teiidae. The record is from RNAcentral.
AGCAUCUAGCUGACUUUAGCAAUCUCAGAAAGCUAAGCAAGACAGGACCUGGACAGUACUUGGAUGGGAGACCACCAAUUCAUCUCAGGGCUAUAUGCUA